RNAcentral lists this ribosomal RNA (451 nucleotides) under uncultured bacterium. RNAcentral's name for it is "partial 16S ribosomal RNA". It matches the Rfam family "Bacterial small subunit ribosomal RNA", at positions 354 to 796 of the family's 1533-position model. The record is from RNAcentral.
GUGGGGAAUAUUGGACAAUGGGGGGAACCCUGAUCCAGCCAUGCCGCGUGUGUGAAGAAGGCCUUUUGGUUGUAAAGCACUUUAAGCGAGGAGGAGGCUACCGAGAUUAAUACUCUUGGAUAGUGGACGUUACUCGCAGAAUAAGCACCGGCUAACUCUGUGCCAGCAGCCGCGGUAAUACAGAGGGUGCAAGCGUUAAUCGGAUUUACUGGGCGUAACGCGCGCGUAGGUGGCCAAUUAAGUCAAAUGUGAAAUCCCCGAGCUUAACUUGGGAAUUGCAUUCGAUACUGGUUGGCUAGAGUAUGGGAGAGGAUGGUAGAAUUCCAGGUGUAGCGGUGAAAUGCGUAGAGAUCUGGAGGAAUACCGAUGGCGAAGGCAGCCAUCUGGCCUAAUACUGACACUGAGGUGCGAAAGCAUGGGGAGCAAACAGGAUUAGAUACCCGUGUAGUCC